CCCGCGCUGCUGAUACGCGCGGCGCAGUCUCGAGAUACACUCGGCUCGCAUGCCGCACGCGAGAAACGGUCAUCUGAUUGUGAGACUUAAGCGAUGGAACUGGACGAGAAAAAGUCUCUUCGCGGAAAGAACGCAAGAUGAGACGAAAGAAUGAUCUCGCUGGCCCAUCGUCGGGGAAGGAACUUGUGGAUUGUAUCGCGGUUUACAUAAUCAGAAAGUCGAAUAGUCAGGUUCACAGUUAACCCUUGAAUUCUCUCUACCUCAUCAAAAACAAUAACAACACGAACAAAAGAGCAAACGUGAUCUCACCAUGUACAUAAUUGCAUGUUAUUAUAAUAGUGUAUUCCGCUCUGUUGAAAAAGAUUUUCUCUGUUUGCAGGAUAGAAUAAAUUAGAUCAAGAUACAUAUUGUGUUCAUCGCAUCACAAUCAACAAAACAGACUCACUCUCGACACCAUACUCUCGCCUAAUUACACUCGUAACUACAUGACACGCAAACGUGAUUUUGGAUUAUUAAGCUAAUUAACCGACAUUUUUCUGUAGUUGAAAAAUCAAUCUGUUAUUUCAAGAUACGAUCUAAGUUUAUUAAUUAAAAUUAAAAAGAGAAUUGCUUUCAGCGAU
This is a long non-coding RNA of Pogonomyrmex barbatus (red harvester ant), 620 nucleotides long. RefSeq lists it as uncharacterized. Lineage: Eukaryota; Metazoa; Arthropoda; Insecta; Hymenoptera; Formicidae. The record is from RefSeq and is a predicted model, not a curated record.